AGUCGAACGGAGAUUACUUCGGUAAUCUUAGUGGCGAACGGGUGAGUAACGCGUGGGCAACCUGCCCUCUAGAUGGGGACAACAUCCCGAAAGGGGUGCUAAUACCGAAUGUGACAGCAAUCUCGCAUGAGGAUGCUGUGAAAGAUGGCCUCUAUUUAUAAGCUAUCGCUAGAGGAUGGGCCUGCGUCUGAUUAGCUAGUUGGUGGGGUAACGGCCUACCAAGGCGAUGAUCAGUAGCCGGUCUGAGAGGAUGAACGGCCACAUUGGGACUGAGACACGGCCCAGACUCCUACGGGAGGCAGCAGUGGGGAAUCUUCCGCAAUGGGCGAAAGCCUGACGGAGCA
RNAcentral lists this ribosomal RNA (344 nucleotides) under uncultured bacterium. Its description in RNAcentral is "bacterial SSU rRNA". It matches the Rfam family "Bacterial small subunit ribosomal RNA", at positions 60 to 392 of the family's 1533-position model. The record is from RNAcentral.